This 497-nucleotide ribosomal RNA is filed under the name uncultured bacterium. RNAcentral describes it as "partial 16S ribosomal RNA". It matches the Rfam family "Bacterial small subunit ribosomal RNA", at positions 28 to 507 of the family's 1533-position model. The record is from RNAcentral.
GAUGAACGCUGGCGGCGUGCCUAAUACAUGCAAGUCGAGCGAACAGACGAGGAGCUUGCUCCUCUGACGUUAGCGGCGGACGGGUGAGUAACACGUGGAUAACCUACCUAUAAGACUGGGAUAACUUCGGGAAACCGGAGCUAAUACCGGAUAAUAUAUUGAACCGCAUGGUUCAAUAGUGAAAGACGGUUUUGCUGUCACUUAUAGAUGGAUCCGCGCCGCAUUAGCUAGUUGGUAAGGUAACGGCUUACCAAGGCAACGAUGCGUAGCCGACCUGAGAGGGUGAUCGGCCAAACUGGAACUGAGACACGGUCCAGACUCCGACGGGAGGCAGCAGUAGGGAAUCUUCCGCAAUGGGCGAAAGCCUGACGGAGCAACGCCGCGUGAGUGAUGAAGGUCUUCGGAUCGUAAAACUCUGUUAUUAGGGAAGAACAAAUGUGUAAGUAACUAUGCACGUCUUGACGGUACCUAAUCAGAAAGCCACGGCUAACUACGUG